Molecule: long non-coding RNA, 848 nt
Organism: Ornithorhynchus anatinus (platypus)
Lineage: Eukaryota; Metazoa; Chordata; Mammalia; Monotremata; Ornithorhynchidae
Exons: 4
Source: RefSeq, a predicted model, not a curated record
AGAAGAGAAGUUUUGUAUCUUUUUAGUUCCACUGUAUAAACUUAAUUUCAAGGCACACUGCAAAAAACUGGAGGAUGAGCAACACAAAUAAACACAGUGCAUGGAUGCUCUCUUAUUCCUCGGCAUUCUUGUUUCUGAAGGGGGUUCUCUAAUAUAGAGGUCAGAGAAACCCUCGUAGGCCAAAUGAAGGUUCUAUUUUACAUAACCCUGCUGCCGACAUCAUCAUAUUCUGAAGAAUAUUUGCUCACUAUGCACUGAUCGGGACAGUCGACUUGGUUCGCGGCGACGGUUUCUACGAGAAGACGCGCGGCGGAAGCUCUUACGAAGAGCCACAAGUGUGCUUUGCUCAGGGCACUGAGAUCUACAAACCCUCACUGAGAACGUAACCUCCUGGCGGACAAUCAGCCUCCACGAUUCCCAAGUCGCCUCUUUUCCAAGAGAUGAAGGGACUGCUUCGGUGUUGAGAUCAGGCGUGAUUGGGAUUAGAAGGUAGGACCCCUGCCCUAAAGGAGAUGACAAUCAAGCCUGGAAGACAGAUGCGAAAUAUAUUUCAGCUAAGAAGAGAAUGGAAAGGGCGCGAUCAAGGAGCCACUAACUCACUGAAGAAGUCAUCACGGAGGCACGUCGGCAUCGACUACAUCUUGUUGAAAUCACCCCCCCGUAAUUCCUCUUCCUAAAGGAUUCCACUAAAACCUCAUUUUCUUUCCAAUUACCGCUGCGUGGCCGAGACUCUGAAACUGCUUAAAUCCCAAGUGCGGUAAGAAUCCUGGGGACUCGGAGCUGAGUAUCAGUUGAAAAUGAGAAAACGCAUCCAUACGGCAAAGUAAAAACAAACAUUUUAGUCCUCA